CCUACGGGAGGCAGCAGUGGGGAAUAUUGGACAAUGGGGGCAACCCUGAUCCAGCCAUGCCGCGUGUGUGAAGAAGGCCCUCGGGUUGUAAAGCACUUUCAGCGAGGAAGAACGCCUGGCGGUUAAUACCCGCCAGGAAAGACAUCACUCGCAGAAGAAGCACCGGCUAACUCCGUGCCAGCAGCCGCGGUAAUACGGAGGGUGCAAGCGUUAAUCGGAAUUACUGGGCGUAAAGCGCGCGUAGGUGGCUUGAUAAGCCGGUUGUGAAAGCCCCGGGCUCAACCUGGGAACGGCAUCCGGAACUGUCAGGCUAGAGUGCAGGAGAGGAAGGUAGAAUUCCCGGUGUAGCGGUGAAAUGCGUAGAGAUCGGGAGGAAUACCAGUGGCGAAGGCGGCCUUCUGGACUGACACUGACACUGAGGUGCGAAAGCGUGGGUAGCAAACAGGAUUAGAUACCCUGGUAGUCCACGCCGUAAACGAUGUCGACCAGCCGUUGGGUGCCUAGCCACUUUGUGCGAU
RNAcentral lists this ribosomal RNA (518 nucleotides) under uncultured bacterium. Its description in RNAcentral is "bacterial SSU rRNA". It matches the Rfam family "Bacterial small subunit ribosomal RNA", at positions 338 to 850 of the family's 1533-position model. The record is from RNAcentral.